GGAUGAGUCUGCAUCUGAUUAGCUAGUUGGUGGUGUAAUGGACUACCAAGGCGACGAUCAGUAGCUGGUUUGAGAGGAUGAUCAGCCACAAUGGGACUGAGACACGGCCCAUACUCCUACGGGAGGCAGCAGUAGGGAAUUUUGCGCAAUGGGCGAAAGCCUGACGCAGCAACGCCGCGUGAUCGAGACGCCCUUCGGGGUGUAAAGAUCUGUCAGUGGGGACGAAACUUGACGGUACCCACAGAGGAAGCACCGGCUAACUCCGUGCCAGCAGCCGCGGUAAUACGGGGGGUGCAAGCGUUGUCCGGAAUCAUUGGGCGUAAAGAGUUCGUAGGCGGCACGUAAAGUCUGGUGUUAAAGGCAGAGGCUCAACUUCUGUACGGCACUGGAUACUUGCGAGCUAGAAUGCGGUAGAGGUAAAGGGAAUUCCUGGUGUAGCGGUGAAAUGCUUAGAUAUCAGGAGGAACAUCGGUGGCGUAAGCGCUUUACUGGGCCGUAAUUGACGCUGAGGAACGAAAGCCAGGGUAGCAAAUGGGAUUAGAUACCCCAGUAGUCCUGGCCGUAAACGAUGGAUACUAGGUGU
Molecule: ribosomal RNA, 583 nt
Filed under: uncultured bacterium
Lineage: Bacteria
Description: bacterial SSU rRNA
Rfam family: Bacterial small subunit ribosomal RNA
Source: RNAcentral